GCAAGGCCUGGGACACGGCCGGACAGACCGCGGGGCAGCCCUCGGAGAAGUGGGAAGAGGAGAGAAAACAGUGGCGAAAAGAAGGUCUCCUGGGAAGGAGCGCCCUGGGAAGCUGGACGCGGUAUAACAGAGCCAAAAACUCUCAAGUCACAAAGCCCAGGCAUGCACCAUAGAAAAAGAUGUGAUCUCUAACAAACAUCCAGAACCAACUAUUCGUCUCCUUGGAACGAAGAAGACUGGGACAUGACUGGAACCCGAACAUUCGAACUCUCAGAAGGGAAGGGUCUCUUGGCCCAGAAGAUAGGGGCUAAAAUCCACCUCAACAUAUCGUACCAUAAAUGGCCAAAUUUGAAGGCCUUCAAACAGAUCCUGCCCAGCCAACAUUUCUAAGUCCUUUCCUUUGCCCUCUGCUUCCUUAGAACUUGCCCCAGACCCCAAAUCAGGGAGGAAGAUUUGAACCUGCCUCCUGUCUCCUUGCUGGCUGGUCUUGCAAUAAAGUCUUUCUUUUCUCAAAGGCAGUACCAUGGUAUUGCUUCCGUGUACAUUGAGCAGUGAGCCUGAGGCAGGAAAAUAGGGUCAGGAGGCAGGGAACAUAAGGCCAAUUCACACUUCGGCUGUAACAGGAAAUAUCCACUCCAUAGGGCGUAUGCUGUAAGUGACUUUGUAACUUUACUUCAUCCUCUGCAUUUACAUAGAGGGUAAGUGAAGUAAACAAUGGAAUCAUCUAGGGGAUAUUUAAACUUCCAAAAAUUCUGUAACGGGGCCUUUGAGCCCCUAUGUUCGGGCCGCUCCCACACUGUGGAAUGUAAUUUCGUUUUCA
Molecule: long non-coding RNA, 820 nt
Filed under: Pan troglodytes (chimpanzee)
Lineage: Eukaryota; Metazoa; Chordata; Mammalia; Primates; Hominidae
Description: long non-coding RNA NONPTRT014456
Source: RNAcentral